Molecule: RNase P RNA, 344 nt
Filed under: Breznakia pachnodae
Lineage: Bacteria; Bacillati; Bacillota; Erysipelotrichia; Erysipelotrichales; Erysipelotrichaceae
Description: RNase P class B
Rfam family: Bacterial RNase P class B
About the family: Ribonuclease P (RNase P) is a ubiquitous endoribonuclease, found in archaea, bacteria and eukarya as well as chloroplasts and mitochondria.
Source: RNAcentral
AGUACAAGGCAAUCGCUGCUUAUAUAUAAUAUAGGUAGAGGAAAGUCCAUGCUCGCAUAAUCUGAGAUGAUUAUAGUGUUUGUGCCAGACGAAACGAUAAGUCUGGGUAGUGUAAGCUAACGGCUGAUGAAAUUCUAAGGGAAACUAUGAAUGGAGUCUUUAAAAGUGCCACAGAGACGAGCUUUUAUAGAAAUAUAAAAGAUGGAACGGGUAAACCCCACAAGCGAGAAACCCAAAAUUUGGUAGGGGAACUCUGCGUUACGAACUGAAGUGACAAAGGGACACAUUUGUGUAGAUAAAUGGUUGCCACCCUUGAAAAAGGGUACAGAACAUGGCUUAUAUGU